CGGCGAAAAAGGUAGGUUUUCUCUUCCUUUCUUUAUAUUUUAAGCAAAAAUAAAUAAAAAAAUAGCGAAACUAAAAAAAUCAAAUAUAUAUGUACAAAUGAAGAAAAAAAAUGAAAGAACGAUAAUCGAUAGAAUGGUAAAACAGAAAAGAAAACCUUUUUAUUUCAAAAAAAAUAUUUCCUCUCUGCCUUUGUAUUUCUUUCGGUCCCCCCUCCACUCUUUUUACAUAUUGAACGGCCUUUUAUAGGCCG
RNAcentral lists this long non-coding RNA (251 nucleotides) under Gossypium raimondii (Peruvian cotton). Its description in RNAcentral is "long non-coding RNA (GRAI_LNC008879)". The record is from RNAcentral. Lineage: Eukaryota; Viridiplantae; Streptophyta; Magnoliopsida; Malvales; Malvaceae.